UACGUAGGGUGCGAGCGUUGUCCGGAAUUAUUGGGCGUAAAGGGCUCGUAGGCGGUUUGUCGCGUCGGGAGUGAAAAUCCAGGGCUUAACUCUGGACUGGCUUCCGAUACGGGCAGACUAGAGGUAUGCAGGGGAGAACGGAAUUCCUGGUGUAGCGGUGGAAUGCGCAGAUAUCAGGAGGAACACCAAUGGCGAAAGCAGGUACCUGGACCAUUACUGACACUCAGCUGCGAAAGCUAGGGGAGCAAACAGG
Molecule: ribosomal RNA, 253 nt
Filed under: uncultured bacterium
Lineage: Bacteria
Description: partial 16S ribosomal RNA
Rfam family: Bacterial small subunit ribosomal RNA
Source: RNAcentral